UUGCUCCCGAGCAUCAGUAACAGAGGGUUCGAUUAUGGCUCAGAUUGAACGCUGGCGGGUGCUUUAUUACUGAUGCAAGUCGAACGGCAGCACGGACUUCGGUCUGGUGGCGAGUGGCGAACGGGUGAGUAAUGUAUCGGAACGUGCCUAGUAGCGGGGGAUAACGGCGCGUGAAUGCAGCUAAUACCGCAUACGCCCUUCGGGGGAAAGCGGGGGGACCUUUCGGGCCUCGCACUAUUAGGAGCGGCUGAUAUCGGAUUAGCUAGUUGGUGGGGUAACGGCUCACCAAGGCGACGAUCCGUAGCUGGUUUGAGAGGACGACCAGCCACACUGGGACUGGAGACAUCGGCCCAGACUCUACGGGAGGCAGCAGUGGGGAAUUUUGGACAAUGGGGGAAACCUGAUCCAGCCAUCCCGCGUGUGCGAUGAAGGCCUUCGGGUUGUAAAGCACUUUGGCAGGAAGAAACGGCACGGGAUAAUACCCCGUGCAACUGAUUUGGUACCUGCAGAAUAAGCACCGGCUAACUACGCCAGCAGCCGCGGUAAUACGUAGGUGCAAGCGUUAAUCGGAAUUACUGGGCGUAAAGCGUGCGCAGGCGGUUCGGAAAGAAAGAUGUGAAAUCCCAGAGCUUAACUUUGGAACUGCAUUUUUAACUACCGAGCUAGAGUGUGUCAGAGGGGAGGUGGAAUUCGCGUGUAGCAGUGAAAUGCGUAGAUAUGCGGAGGAACACCGAUGGCGAAGGCAGCCUCUGGGAUAACACUGACGCUCAUGCACGAAAGCGUGGGAGCAAACAGGGAUUAGAUACCCUGUGUCCACGCCCUAAACGAUGUCAACUAGCUGUUGGGGCCUUCGGGCCUUGGUAGCGCAGCUAACGCGUGAAGUUGACCGCCUGGGGAGCAUGGUCGCAAGAUUAAAACCCAAAGAAUUGACGGGGACCCGCACAAGCGGUGGAUGAUGUGAUUAAUCUGAUGCAACGCGAAAAACCUUACCUACCCUUGACAUGUCUGGAAUCCCGAAGAGAUUUGGGAGUGCUCGCGCAAGAGAACCGGAACACAGGUGCUGCAUGGCUGUCGUCAGCUCGUGUCGUGAGAUGUUGGGUUAAGUCCUGCAACGAGCGCAACCCUUGUCAUUAGUUGCUACGAAAGGGCACUCUAUCGAGACUGCCGGUGACAAACCGAGGAAGGUGGGGGAUGACGUCAAGUCCUCAUGGCCCUUAUGGGUAGGGGGCUUGCACGUCAUACAAUGGUCGGGACAGAGGGUCGCCAACCCGCGAGGGGGAGCCAAUCCCAGAAACCCGAUCGUAGUCCGGAUCGCAGUCUGCAACUCGACUGCGUGAAGUCGGAACGCUGGCAAUCGCGGAUCAGCAUGUCGCGGUGAAUACGUUCCCGGGUCUUGUACACACUGGCCCGUCACACCAUGGGAGUGGGUUUUACCAGAAGUAGUUAGCCCAACCGUAAGGAGGGCGAUUACCACGGUAGGAUUCAUGACUGGGGUGAAGCGUCGUAUCAGU
RNAcentral lists this ribosomal RNA (1511 nucleotides) under uncultured Bordetella sp. RNAcentral describes it as "partial 16S-23S ribosomal RNA intergenic spacer". It matches the Rfam family "Bacterial small subunit ribosomal RNA". Lineage: Bacteria; Pseudomonadati; Pseudomonadota; Betaproteobacteria; Burkholderiales; Alcaligenaceae. The record is from RNAcentral.